Molecule: long non-coding RNA, 404 nt
Organism: Entelurus aequoreus (snake pipefish)
Lineage: Eukaryota; Metazoa; Chordata; Actinopteri; Syngnathiformes; Syngnathidae
Exons: 3
Source: RefSeq, a predicted model, not a curated record
AUUUUUGUCAGCACAUUUUAGCCUGCACAUUACCUGCCGCCUCUGCGUCCUGGAGUCGCGACAAACGCAGCCGUGACUCGAAACGCUUAUCCAGAGGUGACCCAUGGAUGAGUGAAUGCACCGCUGGGCCAAGAUGCUCGGCUCCAUCAUAAGUGUCACUAAAGUUGGGAUGAGUGUCUUCUAAGGAGUGAUGAGACGAGCCUCAUAAAGAUGACGGAGAGCUGGACGUGUCGCCAGCCCCUGCCAGGAAACCCCAGUGAUUAACGAGAGCCGGGACACCUCCGCUAAUAAGACUCAUCGCUUUAAUUGGCUCCAUGCUAUCCAGAUCCUCGCCAAAAUGUCACGGCUCCUUCAUUUGCCCAGGUGGCCCCCUGCAUGCCCUUUCCUAGCCGCUCAAAGGCUGC